CUCCAGCCUGAAGCCCCUCUGGCCCAGGGAGUGACUGCAAAGUCAGCAGCACAUGGGCCAGGGCUGGCCAGCCUCUCAGCUCCACGCACCCAGACAGAAGCAUCCACAUCUGCACUCUUCAUAGCAGAGACCUCUCCCUGUUCAGGUUCUGCAUACAGAAGAGACGCCCAGAAAUAGAAGUUACAAACAUACUUUGAAAACAUUGGGAACUUGGUUCCAGACCACCACAAUAAAUUUCUAAGGAUCAGGAAUUUGGAGUAACCAACUGAAUGGUUCUGGUUCAAAGUCUCUCAAGAGGUUACUAUCAAGCUGCUGGCCCAGG
RNAcentral lists this long non-coding RNA (322 nucleotides) under Homo sapiens (human). Its description in RNAcentral is "HSALNT0314412". The record is from RNAcentral. Lineage: Eukaryota; Metazoa; Chordata; Mammalia; Primates; Hominidae.